Molecule: transfer RNA, 51 nt
Filed under: Amphitetranychus viennensis (hawthorn spider mite)
Lineage: Eukaryota; Metazoa; Arthropoda; Arachnida; Trombidiformes; Tetranychidae
Description: tRNA-Asp
Source: RNAcentral
AAGAUAAUUAAUUAAAUUGUCAAUUUAAUUUUUCUUAACCAGUUUAUCUUG